AAUGUGGCCGACCAGGAGAAGAAAGAUCGGAUCGCGGCUCUCAUACCUGAUAUGCCCUGGAUUGCCGAGGCGCCCGUACUCCUGGUUUUCUGCGGUGAUGGACGGCGGAUUCGGCGCAUCUGCGAACUCCGGAAAACCCGGUUCUCGCAUGAUCCGCUCGAUGCGUUUUUCAACGCGACGGUGGACGCGGCGCUGGCUAUGUCUGCGUUUAUCCGCGCAGCCGAAGCGGAAGGUCUGGCGACCUGUCCGGUCAGCGCGGUGCGGGAGCCUGUUGAGGAAAUUGCCGAGCUUCUGGCGCUGCCUGACGCCGUCUUCCCUGUUGCGGGGUUGUGUGUCGGUUACCCGGUC
This 348-nucleotide ribosomal RNA is filed under the name uncultured eukaryote. RNAcentral's name for it is "partial small subunit ribosomal RNA". The record is from RNAcentral.